This 1167-nucleotide ribosomal RNA is filed under the name Campylobacter jejuni. RNAcentral's name for it is "partial 23S ribosomal RNA". It matches the Rfam family "Bacterial large subunit ribosomal RNA", at positions 1 to 1188 of the family's 2925-position model. Lineage: Bacteria; Pseudomonadati; Campylobacterota; Epsilonproteobacteria; Campylobacterales; Campylobacteraceae. The record is from RNAcentral.
AGGUAAGCUACUAAGAGCGAAUGGUGGAUGCCUUGACUGGUAAAGGCGAUGAAGGACGUACUAGACUGCGAUAAGCUACGGGGAGCUGUCAAGAAGCUUUGAUCCGUAGAUUUCCGAAUGGGGCAACCCAAUGUAUAGAGAUAUACAUUACCUAUAUAGGAGCGAACGAGGGGAAUUGAAACAUCUUAGUACCCUCAGGAAAAGAAAUCAAUAGAGAUUGCGUCAGUAGCGGCGAGCGAAAGCGCAAGAGGGCAAACCCAGUGCUUGCACUGGGGGUUGUAGGACUGCAAUGUGCAAGAGCUGAGUUUAGCAGAACAUUCUGGAAAGUAUAGCCAUAGAGGGUGAUAGUCCCGUAUGCGAAAAACAAAGCUUAGCUAGCAGUAUCCUGAGUAGGGCGGGACACGAGGAAUCCUGUCUGAAUCCGGGUCGACCACGAUCCAACCCUAAAUACUAAUACCAGAUCGAUAGUGCACAAGUACCGUGAGGGAAAGGUGAAAAGAACUGAGGUGAUCAGAGUGAAAUAGAACCUGAAACCAUUUGCUUACAAUCAUUCAGAGCCCUAUGUAGGAAUACAGGGUGAUGGACUGCCUUUUGCAUAAUGAGCCUGCGAGUUGUGGUGUCUGGCAAGGUUAAGCAAACGCGAAGCCGUAGCGAAAGCGAGUCUGAAUAGGGCGCUUAGUCAGAUGCUGCAGACCCGAAACGAAGUGAUCUAUCCAUGAGCAAGUUGAAGCUAGUGUAAGAACUAGUGGAGGACUGAACCCAUAGGCGUUGAAAAGCCCCGGGAUGACUUGUGGAUAGGGGUGAAAGGCCAAUCAAACUUCGUGAUAGCUGGUUCUCUCCGAAAUAUAUUUAGGUAUAGCGUUGUGUCGUAAUAUAAGGGGGUAGAGCACUGAAUGGGCUAGGGCAUACACCAAUGUACCAAACCCUAUCAAACUCCGAAUACCUUAUAUGUAAUCACAGCAGUCAGGCGGCGAGUGAUAAAAUCCGUCGUCAAGAGGGAAACAACCCAGACUACCAGCUAAGGUCCCUAAAUCUUACUUAAGUGGAAAACGAUGUGAAGUUACUUAAACAACCAGGAGGUUGGCUUAGAAGCAGCCAUCCUUUAAAGAAAGCGUAAUAGCUCACUGGUCUAGUGAUUUUGCGCGGAAAAUAUAACGGGGCUAAAGU